GCCUAUGGGUGGGCAGGGGCGGGGAGACUUUCGAGUCUGCCGGGUCCUAUUGCCCUGGUUCGCCAACCCCGCUUACUGCCCGCCCACCCCG
This 91-nucleotide non-coding RNA is filed under the name Paraburkholderia fungorum. The record is from RNAcentral. Lineage: Bacteria; Pseudomonadati; Pseudomonadota; Betaproteobacteria; Burkholderiales; Burkholderiaceae.